This 468-nucleotide ribosomal RNA is filed under the name uncultured bacterium. RNAcentral describes it as "partial 16S ribosomal RNA". It matches the Rfam family "Bacterial small subunit ribosomal RNA", at positions 28 to 507 of the family's 1533-position model. The record is from RNAcentral.
GACGAACGCUGGCGGCGUGCUUAACACAUGCAAGUCGAACGGAAAGGCCCUGCUUUUGUGGGGUGCUCGAGUGGCGAACGGGUGAGUAACACGUGAGUAACCUGCCCUUGACUUUGGGAUAACUUCAGGAAACUGGGGCUAAUACCGGAUAGGAGCUCCUGCUGCAUGGUGGGGGUUGGAAAGUUUCGGCGGUUGGGGAUGGACUCGCGGCUUAUCAGCUUGUUGGUGGGGUAGUGGCUUACCAAGGCUUUGACGGGUAGCCGGCCUGGGAGGGUGACCGGCCACAUUGGGACUGAGAUACGGCCCAGACUCGUACGGGAGGCAGCAGUGGGGAGUAUUGCACAAUGGGCGGAAGCCUGAUGCAGCAACGCCGCGUGCGGGAUGACGGCCUUCGGGUUGUAAACCGCUUUCGCCUGUGACGAAGCGUGAGUGACGGUAAUGGGUAAAGAAGCACCGGCUAACUACGUG